AUGAAUAGGAAACAAGGACACAGAGAGAGCAUGUCCAUACAGACCCUUCUAGAAGCAUGGCUGAGACAAGGGCCUGGGAGAGUAGCUGGAGGAAGUGGGGGUGGAAGCCUGAGGACAGACCUUUACGAGAAGCACAGUUCUGUCUUCAGCAUCCUCUCCUCCCUCCCGAGUGGUCUGAGUGGAUGCCAGCUCCCUCCGAGAAGUUGUGAAGCCAUUACAAGCCGGUGGGUGCUGCAGCCUCGGCCCUGCACACAGACUGCCCAGUGUCUGCUUGGCUCCAGGGCAGGAGAGCGCUGCCUUGGGACCGACAGAAAACUGACCAGCUUGUUUAUCCUUGGGACCAGAAGAAACCAGCUCUUUUUCAUUCUCAAUGGCCAGGCUUGGAAAUCCAGCUUGCCAGAAGCCGUCCUUUGGGGAGACUCUGGCCAGGGCAUUAAAGAGGCAGGACUUUGCUGGAAAUUGUGCUCGCUGGCCAAGGCCAGGUGGAAAGAUCAAUCUGGGCUUUAUGAAUUAGUCCCUUCAUUUUUCUGGGUCUGCUUUUCCUCAUCUGGAAAACAGAUUGGACCAUGAGGCUGCACACUGGGUACCAGUCAGGGCCCAGGGGGAUAACAGGGGAUCCUAGUGACCAAGCCCUGGGCUUGAGGCAGGGGUUGGAUCCAAGGCAGGAGGUAUAAGCCAGGGGUGAGGCAAAUCCAACUACAAGAGCAACGGCUGCAACCUUCAAAUCAGCUCAACUCAUGGGAACAACCUAGGCCCAACCGCCCUGCUUUCAAUAGCCCCUGUGACCCACCCCUCUUUAUUUCUGACCUUACUUUGCCUGACUCCUAACCCUCAACUCCAUUUACACCCCACAGAGCUUGCACUUCAUAUGCAGGAGCCACGGUCACAACAUCCUGCCUUCUUCAAGGACGCCGAUGGAGAGCUGCUCCUUCAGCCCUUCCUGCUUCGGUCCUCCUCAGGUAGGAGAGACCCUAAGCUGGUGUAUUAGUAAGGCAUUGCUGCUGUAGAAAAUAGGCCCCAGCGUAUAACAGAUAAACACAAAGGAAGUUUAUUUCAUGUCUCAUCUAACAGUUCUGGGAGGUCCUAAUUGGAGUUCAAGGGUGGUGAGUGGGGACGGGGCCAUCAUCCAGGCAGUCAGAGACUUUGGCUGGUGGCAGCUAUGUCAUUUGUAAAGCAGCUUCCAAAUUCAUGCUGGGGGAUCACUAUCAGAUGACCCAGGGAGAGAGUAUAGAAGGGUUUUAUUGGUCAGAUCUGGAAAGAAGACACAUGUAUCACUUGGCAUUGACUACAACUAUGCUGCAUGGCCUUACACAGCUACAAGGAUGGAGUCUGCUGUGAGCCCAGGAAGACGAGGAAACAGGUUGGGUGAAGAGCCGGCUGGUCUCUGUCAUGCCCAACUUCAGCCCUUUGGGAUCUUCGCAACCUGGGCUUGUGGCUCAAGCUGGCUUGGAUGCUGGGCCCAGCCCAGGGUUCCUGAAAGUCCUCCCUCUGGGAAUGGGAGUGGGUUGGGAUUUCGGGAAGUGCUGUUUCUAUCUCAGGUGGAUUAAGUGGCAGGAUGUGGUACCACUGCCAUCACCUUCUCCAAACAUCAUCAUUUACCACAUGCCUUCCAGGCCUAAGGAAUUGACUGUCCCCUGCAGGGAGGAGAGCAGUGAGGACGAGCUCACUGGUGAACUCAUCGGAACCUUGGAAGGUGUUUCUCAGCCCCAUGGCUCUGACCUCUCUAGGGAAACCUGUGUGUGGGUGUAGGUGAAGAUGAUCACACAAAACAAUCACAAUAAUGCGGAAGCAUUGUCCCCAUUUCACAGAUGAGAAAACUGAGGCUCAGAGAAACCAACUUUUAUAGGUGCAAAUUGUAAGCCAGGGUUUGAAAACAGGUCAUCUGACUUCACAUUCUGUAUUUCUCUCCCUGUAUCAUGCUUCUUCCUUCCUUCUUUCACUAAUGUGUCCCUAAGUCCAUUCAAAUGCCACCUCCCCAUGAAGCCUGUUGCUUCUGUCUGAAUCUCCAUUGGCCUUCCUCUGUGUCUCUUCUAAGUCAGCCUUGUGAUAGGAUAUUUUGUGCAUAUCAAGUUCCUCUGUAAGCCUCUUGAGGGCAAAGACUAGAUCAAUUUCACCUCUAAAUCUCUCCCUCCUGAAUUCAUAUACAUAGGUACACACACACAAAUAUCCAUUCAGGGAAUGAAUACUUUAGUCACCGGAUUCUUGAAUCUGGUUAAAUGGAAAAUCUAAGCCAACUAUGAAAGAAAGAUCAAAGGACGAUUUAUAGUAAACCACACACUCGCUCCUGUAUUUUUUAUUCACACCCUGUUCCCUUCUCUCAUAUCCUGGUUUUCCCAGGCGGGCUUCCAUGGGGCUUGGCUCAUUCACUCUGGCUAGAGAAUUUCCUAACAUUCUGUUUAUUAGUAGUAAUAGCAGUAGGACUAUUACUAUGAAUAGCUGAGAUUUACAGAAGCUCCAAAUGGCAUCUUCCUUGAGUGCAGAGACAGUGGAGCCCCUUGGCCCUGGCUCAGGUCUGGCCCACUCAAUAUUUUCUUUUGUUUUAAUUGAAGUAUAGUUGAUUUACAAUGUUUCAGUUACACAGCAAAGUAAUUCAGUUUCAUAUACAUAUAUAUAUAUAUAUAUAUUCUUUUUCAGAUUCUUGUCUAUUAUUACAAGAUAUUGAAUACAGUUCCCUGUGCUAUACAGUAGGCCCUUGCUGUCUACCUAUUUAUAUAUACAUAUACUUUCAAUAGGGCUGCCCAGGUGGCUCAGUAGGUAAAGAAUCUGCUGGCAAAUGUAGGAGAUUCCAGUUCAGUCCCUGGGUGGGGAAAAUCCCCUGGAAGGGGGCAUGGCAAACCACUCCACUAUUCUUGCCUGGAAAAUCCCAUGGGCAGAGGAGCCUGGCAGGCCACAGUCCAUAGGGUCGCAAAGAGUUGGACAC
RNAcentral lists this long non-coding RNA (2920 nucleotides) under Capra hircus (goat). Its description in RNAcentral is "lncRNA (ENSCHIG00010008574.1)". The record is from RNAcentral. Lineage: Eukaryota; Metazoa; Chordata; Mammalia; Artiodactyla; Bovidae.